RNAcentral lists this ribosomal RNA (119 nucleotides) under Pteropus alecto (black flying fox). Lineage: Eukaryota; Metazoa; Chordata; Mammalia; Chiroptera; Pteropodidae. The record is from RNAcentral.
GGCUACGGCCAUGCUGCCCUGAACACACCCGAUCUCAUCUGAUCUCGGAAACUAAGCAGGGUCAGGCCUGGUUAGUACUUGGAUGGGAGAACACUUAGGAAGACCAGGUGCUGUAGGCU